This 779-nucleotide long non-coding RNA is filed under the name Mytilus galloprovincialis (Mediterranean mussel). The record is from RNAcentral. Lineage: Eukaryota; Metazoa; Mollusca; Bivalvia; Mytilida; Mytilidae.
UAAUUCAGAUCAUUACUACUACCAGUAAUUAAACAUGGGUCCCUUUUCAAAAGUCUUCCAACAGUUUCCUUGAUUUCGCUAGUUAAUCUUUUAUAUUUUUGUUACGUUAAUAUGCUAUAAUAGACACUUGGGUAAAAAUUUCACUGCAUUCUUUUGCAGAUUGUUCCAAUGUUUUCUUAUAAUUUUAAUAAAGUUUUUCACCAUUUGGUUGUAUUUUGUAAUAAGAGUAAGUGGGUAUUUUUCUUGUUCUUGUAUUUCUAAAGUUUUUUUUAUUAAUAAUUUGGAACCAAAUCGAAGGACUAACGAGUUCUGUCCCCUUGUUGUUUUAAGCUUGUAAUAGAUUCAGAUUAAGUAUGUUAAUUAGAUAUGUGCGCAUAAAAAGUGCGCACAAAUCUCAGUGUGUAAUUUUAAAUUCUCAGUGUGUAAUUUUAAAUUCUCAGUGUGUAAUUUCAAAUUCUCAGUGUGUGUUUUUCAGUUUAUUUAUUCUCAGUGUGUCUUUUUGAAAUCUCAGUGUGUAAUUUUCAAUUCUCAGUGUUUAAUAUUCAAUUCUCAGUGUGCAUUUUUCAUUUUUGUAAUCUCAGUGUGUCUUUAUGAAAUCUCAGUGUGUAAUUUUUAAUUCUCAGUGUGUAAUUUUCAAUUCUCAGUGUGUAAUUUUCAAUUCUCAGUGUGCGUAUUGAAGUUUUUAAAUCUCAGUGUGCUUUUUUGUAAUUCUCAGUGUGUAAAUUUUUCGAAAAAUGGUUUAAACAUAGUUUUGACGAGAACGGCUUGACAUAAUAAAG